UACGUAGGUGGCAAGCGUUGUCCGGAUUUAUUGGGCGUAAAGCGAGCGCAGGCGGUUUCUUAAGUCUGAUGUGAAAGCCUUCGGCUCAACCGAAGAAGUGCAUCGGAAACUGGGAAACUUGAGUGCAGAAGAGGACAGUGGAAUUCCAUGUGUAGCGGUGAAAUGCGUAGAUAUAUGGAAGAACACCAGUGGCGAAGGCGGCUGUCUGGUCUGUAACUGACGCUGAGGCUCGAAAGCAUGGGUAGCAAACAGG
Molecule: ribosomal RNA, 253 nt
Filed under: Latilactobacillus sakei
Lineage: Bacteria; Bacillati; Bacillota; Bacilli; Lactobacillales; Lactobacillaceae
Description: partial 16S ribosomal RNA
Rfam family: Bacterial small subunit ribosomal RNA
Source: RNAcentral